This 1360-nucleotide long non-coding RNA is filed under the name Salmo salar (Atlantic salmon). RNAcentral's name for it is "lncRNA (ENSSSAG00000091623.1)". Lineage: Eukaryota; Metazoa; Chordata; Actinopteri; Salmoniformes; Salmonidae. The record is from RNAcentral.
CUCUAGUAUGUUACGUCUAGUCUAUGAGACCAGGAUGGAUGGAGGUGCUGAGCUGACAGGCCAUUGGAUGGAUGGAGGUGCUGAGCUGACAGGCCAUUGGAUGGAUGAGGGUGCUGAGCUGACAGGCCAUUGGAUGGAUGGAGGGUGCUGAGCUGACAGGCCAUUGGAUGGAUGGAGGGUGCUGAGCUGACAGGCUAUUGGAUGGAUGGAGGGCGCUGAGCUGACAGGCCAUUGGAUGGAUGAGGUUGCUGAGCUGACAAGCCAUUGGAUGGAUAAGGGUGCUGAGGUGACAGGCCAUUGGAUGGAUGGAGGCGCUGAGCUGACAGGCCAUUGGAUGGAUGGAGGGUGCUGAGCUGACAGGCUAUUGGAUGGAUGGAGGUGCUGAGCUGACAGGCCAUUGGAUGGAUGGAGGGUGCUGAGCUGACAGGCCAUUGGAUGGAUGGAGGCGCUGAGCUGACAGGCCAUUGGAUGGAUGAGGGUGCUGAGCUGACAGGCCAUUGGAUGGAUGGAGGUGCUGAGCUGACUAGCCAUUGGAUGGAUGAGGGUGCUGAGCUGACAGGCCAUUGGAUGGAUGAGGGUGCUGAGCUGACAGGCCAUUGGAUGGAUGGAGGGUGCAGAGCUGACAGGCCAUUGGAUGGAUGGAGGCGCUGAGCUGACAGGCCAUUGGAUGGAUGGAGGGUGCUGAGUUGACAAGCCAUUGGAUGGAUGAGGGUGCUGAGCUGACAGGCCAUUGGAUGGAUGGAGGUGCUGAGUUGACAAGCCAUUGGAUGGAUGGAGGUGCUGAGCUGACAGGCCAUUGGAUGGAUGGAGGGUGCUGAACUGACAGGCCAUUGGAUGGAUGGAGGGUGUUGAGCUGACAGGCCAUUGGAUGGAUGGAGGGUGCUGAGCUGACAGGCCAUUGGAUGGAUGAAGGUGCUGAACUGACAGGCCAUUGGAUGGAUGGAGGCGCUGAGCUGACAGGCCAUUGGAUGGAUGGAGGGUGCUGAGCUGACAGGCCAUUGGAUGGAUGAGGGUGCUGAGCUGACAGGCCAUUGGAUGGAUUGAGGGUGCUGAGCUGACUAGCAAUUGGAUGGAUGGAGGUGCUGAGCUGACAGGCCAUUGGAUGGAUAAGGGUGCUGAACUGACAGGCCAUUGGAUGGAUGGAGGGUGCUGAGCUGACAGGCCAUUGGAUGGAUAAGGGUGCUGAACUGACAGGCCAUUGGAUGGAUGGGUUAGUAGAGUAGCCUGCUACAAUACAGUAGUCUUUAUAUAGAACUUCAAAGGGACAGCUAGUUUAAUACAGUUCAAAAGAGUCUCCUAAUAAACUACAUACUAACCAAGGAGGAACACUGGCUGUUCAUAAGAGCGUUUUUUACAGUCA